Molecule: long non-coding RNA, 4329 nt
Organism: Brassica napus (rape)
Lineage: Eukaryota; Viridiplantae; Streptophyta; Magnoliopsida; Brassicales; Brassicaceae
Exons: 6
Source: RefSeq, a predicted model, not a curated record
UAUUAGCAUGACAUGAUUUUCAAGAUUGGAAUGGUAUACAUUUUCUUAAAUGUUUGAUUGACUUUUUACAAAAAGAAAGAUAAUAAGUUGUUUUUGUUUUUAAUUUGUUCAUCAGAUAUAUUUUAAGACAUUAUAAUAUUUUAGUUAUUAUCUUUCUUUUUGUAAUAUUUUUUAUAAUGAGAACAUAUUUUAUAUCAUCUUCGUAUAUAUCUUAACUAAAAUUCUUUAUAUUUUAUUUUUUUAUUAGUCUUUAUACAGAUUUUAAGUUUGUAUUAGCAUGACAUGAUUUUCAAGAUUGGAAUGGUAUACAUUUUCUUAAAUGUUUGAUUGACUUUUUAUAUAUAUAUAUAUAUAUAGUAAGUAAAUUUGAGUUUUAUUGUUGUGAUUAGGUUUAACACUCAAAACAUUGAUUAUUUUAUAUUUUGUAUAUAUUGAAUGUACAUGUAUUUUUAUUUAUUUUACAUAUUUUAUUUUAAAAUUACUAAUUUAAAUGAAAAUAUAAUUCACUAUAAUAGGAAAUUAUUUUUUUUUUUAAAAAGAAUCAAAACAUAAUAUUAAUUAUCAAUAUUUAAAUAAACAUAUGACUGAAUAUUUUGCCAAAUUUAUUUUUAAAAUUCAGUUCUAAAUUUAUGGGAUUGUGUUCAUUCCAGUAUAUCAUAUGAUUCUUUUGAGAUUGGUGCAUGUAAUUGAAAACCAAGGAAACUAUAAUUAGCUAAUGUGCAGCAUCAAAAGAGAAUAUAUUCAUGUGCAUCUCUAAUUAGCUAUACUUAAAACACACUCUGUCUUCUUGUUGAUAAAACCAUAGACUGAUAUGAAUAAAUGAAAACCCUUAUAGACUGAUUCUCAAUUGCUGAUUGAGGCAUUUUCCUAGUUUUUUUCUGUAGUUCCUUUGGUCUCUUUUUGUCUUUCUCUAGAUUUUCUCUCGCUUAAUCUCAUCCUCACCAUUUCUGAACCACUUGCCCUCUCUUCCUCUCAAGCCUCUUUGCUGUUUCUCUCAGCUAUAUCUCCUUCACUUGGACAACAAUUAUAUAAUAAGAUUAUUAAUUAUGUGCGAAAAUAUUAUUUUAAAUUGAUGUCAAAUGUUCUGCUAGAUUAAAAAAUUGAUCAAAAACAAAUUCUGGAUUAUUAAAUAUUCUAUUAAUAAAUUUGGUUUAAACCUAUAAUAUGAUGAAAAUGUGGAAUAUUUAAUAAACUUUUACAAAUUGUAGUGUUAAUUUUUUAGACAAAUUCUAUUGAUGAAAUUUUCAUCAGGAAAAUGAAGGAUUCAGCUUUAUUAAUAGUGUAACAUUAUUUUUAAUAUUUUUUAUUAGAUCUAAUUGUUUAUAACUAAAUAAGAGGUGUGGUUGGACGAAUUUCUUUUCAAAUGUGUCAAUGCUCUGAUUGCUUUUAUUAGGUUAGCAGGUGCCAUUUGUCGAGAAGAUAUGUUAUAGGAAAUGUGUUACGUCGUGUGAGUUUUAACUAAUACUCCCUCUGUUUCUUAUAGAUCCAUUUUUUAGAAAAAUAAUUUGUUUCAAAAAUAUACAUUUUUUACAUUUUCAAGACAUUAAUUAAUGAAAAAUUGUACUUUUCAAAAAAUACAAUUGUGUUUAAUAAAAUCUCAUUGGUUAAAAGUUAUUGGGAAUAGUUAAUUAAGAAAAACAAUGUAAUGGAAAAUACAAUUUUAAAUGUUUUCUUAUAAGUGUGAAAAAACUAUAACAUGGAUCUUUUAGGAACGGAGGGAGUAUUGUUUUAAUGAUUUGUAAUUGUAUCAUAUAUUUCACGUAAGGUAAUUUAUUCUGAAAGACUUUCCUCUAGGCUCCCAUUUUCCAUUUUCCAUGAACUCAUACACCAAAUACCCCAUAUGCAGGACAUGAAGAAACCUGUGAGGAUUUCCUGAGCAACAUUAGGGGUGUGAUCAAGUGUAUAUUUUGUACCAGACAUCGUUAUGUACGAAUGAAUUCAACCACCAUAUUUCUCGUGUGAUUCCCUUCUUUCUUUCAUUUCUGCUUGCUUCCUUCUAGUUCUGCCAUCAUCUGCGCUUUCACACUUGAUUCCAUUGUAGCUCUACACUUGGCCUUCUCCAUCUUUGGAAAAGCCAGGACUGCCGCUUCAGCACUCCUAAGUUCCUCAAAUCUCCGAGGUUCUUACACAGGUUAUGCUAAUUUUUCAAGAGAAACAUGGGAGUCAUAAAGUUUUAGACGGAGCAAGCUGAGCUUACUCAUCAUCAACUAUAUCUGCUGACAUCUAUAUUUCUAACAGCCCUUUUGUAUUAAGUGCUUCUCUGGACGCUGAGCUGUACAUGUCCAUGGUUUGCCUGAGUUCAAGCCUUCAUCUUCUCAUCUCAGCUUCAAUAUUUCUCUGGCAAUGACUGGUGUUUAUUUGCGGUGAAAACCUUCUUGCCAAUGCGAAUGGUCAUCACGCUAAUGUCUGGUAAGAGUCCGUGUUUUCAACUUCGUUGGUUAUGGCGACGCUCAUCAAGUAUAACUUCAGGGAAGAUUUUCUGAUAAUCAAGAAAUAAACAAAUGGAUCCCACUUAAACUGAAUGUUUGGAUUAAAAGCUUGAUAAUGAAUUUACAAAUAAAGUGAAACAGAAUCAACAGUGCAUUUGUUUUAAUCAUCAAAUGAGUUAAAUGAGAACCAGUCCAUUGGCAUGCUAUUACAGUUCUGCUCAUUUGAUGAUUUUUGUUGCAUCAUCUUUGCCAUUCUGCUACACUUUAUUUACAUAUACAAAUUCAAAACUCUUCAACACUGUACUAUUUUUUUUUUAUUAUGGGUUUGCAAGGUAUUAGACGCGUGAUGCAUGUUGGCCAAUUAUUGUUAAAUCCUUCUUAAAAAGCUAUCUUUACUUUUCUAUCGAGGAAAGAAUAAUGUUUGCCAAGGAAACAGAACCUAAGUUCAGAUGCUUUUGUAAUGUCUUUGAUGCUUUGUCUAAACAUCCAAGAUGGCCAAGAGCUUGAAAGUGGUAAUUAGAGACCUUACCAUGUUUACUUGCAUUAGAAGGUAAAGCUUAUAUUAUUAUUUUCCAAGUAUUAAUUAAUAUGAUUUCGUAUUGGGAGCAAACUUUAUACCAGAAUUAGAUGUGGUAUGUCAAGGUGCAACGAAAAUGAACAGCGUAUAUGCUUAGACAGCCCCAGACCCAGUCCCAUUACUUUGGAAGAUCUAUUCCCUAACUUCAGAUCCUAAAGCAAUGGAUACAUCAGGGAAAUAUUCUAACAAAGGCUACUACUAUGGCGAUUCGUUGCUGGAGACUUCGAGUUCUGUUUCUGGGUCUCAUGGAGCUCAAUCUAGGAAAUUUUUUUCCUCUCGGAUCAAUUCCCCCAACUUAAAGGAAUCUUCAUCAUCAGAGAAAGACACUGGUAUCACUACCGGUAAAGAGAUCAACGGCUCAGACGAGAAAUAGACAGUUGGCUCAGACAAGAGACGAUCGACGGUUAACAAGAAGAUGAUAAGCAGAACAGAGAGCUGGAGUCUGUUCGAGUUCAAGAGUGCUCCUUUGUACGGUGUAACUUCGAUCUGUGGAAGACCACCGGAGAUGGAAUAUGAUGUCUCCAUGAUAUCCAGAUUCCUCCAAUCUACAAAGAUUUCUUUAAUAGAUGGUUGUUUCAGUCCUCAAUCAACCGCUCAUUCAUUUGGUGUCUACGACGGCCAUGGCGGAGAGCAGUGAGGCUAGAAAUAAGUACAUUAACAAGAGAGUGUUGACUUUGGAGUCCAUACGUCUACAGAUCAGAAACUAAUACAUGGACUUUACCAGUACAUAUAUUUCAGGGAAGAUUUUGAUUAAAUAUAUGGAUCUUAAUAUGUGUCGUCUUGAGAAUCAAGUCCAACUAUGUCGACAUCAUGCGCUCUUCUCUUCGCUCAGACUUCAAACAAAGAGGAACAAUGAGAAUGAAGAUAAACAUAGAGAAUGCUUAGACGAGCUAUGAAGAUUAUUGUGAAAUGAAGAGAGAUGAGGGAGGAGACUGGAGAACCAGAGUGAAAUGUCAGGAGACACUGCCUGAUUUUGGAGCCUCUUUGGUUUCAUCGGAGACGUGGGAACAUUGUUUCUACAUUAUUGCAGGUUACAAAGGGACAUGUAGAAUUGUGUUUUUUUUCUUUCAAAGGAGAACCUCAAGAGAAGAAGAUGAUACACUUACGAAGAUAUCUUGCUGAAUAUGCAACUUCAGUAAAAAAAGAAGUGAGUGGCAUCACCAUCAUCUGUGGAAAGAAAUAAUGUCCAAAUUGUUUACCAAUAGAAAUUUUAUGUUUCUGAAAAAUAUUAAAUUUUGAGAUUCAAACCUAAUAUAAGUAUGGUUGUAUACUACGAAAUUGAAUCUAAAAUUCAAAGGUAUAUAAGUUGAAUAGUAUGUUAUA